Molecule: long non-coding RNA, 1061 nt
Organism: Gallus gallus (chicken)
Lineage: Eukaryota; Metazoa; Chordata; Aves; Galliformes; Phasianidae
Source: Ensembl
AUCUCUUUCUGGAGAUCACUCUUUUGGAGUUUUUCCUCUGAGCCUUGGAUGUGGAGGGUUUGAAUGAAGCCAUUAACACUCUAAACAACAGGGAUUCAUGUGCAGGAAAUGCCUCAAGAAGAAAAGAAAACAUAACAAGAAGUUGCCAUUAUCUAAGUUUAGACAUUUCAGCAUCAAGCAACACUCAUUCUACAGCAUAUUAAUUGUCGGAAUAAACCUGGGAUGCUGUUAUGUUUACACUUCCUACCCAGCAGUACUCGCCAUGUAGAUAUGUUCCUCCUGUUCAGUUACACAGACGCAGAGAAUGUGCCGUAGUUGAAUUCAGCUGUUCAAUAGCCAAAGAGGAGUUGUGGAAUUACAAGGACUUUUGAAACUUGAUACUUCACAUGUAUUGUAAUAUGUAAUGUACUUUUGGGACACAGAUACAAAUGCUAACAUUAAAUAGGUCAAAAAAAGCAUUACUUUAUUUGCAGAUGUUUAUGUAAUUUUGAGAUAUAAUUUCUAUUCCAACUAAAAUUAAUACUGUCUAUGGUUCUUUCAAAACAUUCAGACUAUCAACGAAUUGGCUUGCACAGAAAAAAAUAUCUGAAGGACACAUUAACCUGUAGAGUUGCUCCAUAUCCUACUCACCUACCAGAGAGCUUGCUCUGUUUUAUAAUUGUUCUCAUGUGUAGCAGAACUUUUUCAAUCCGAAUUCUACUUUCAGUCAACUGGGAAGUAGUAUAUAUGUGCAUCACAUUGGCUUAUGCAUGUAUUUACUUUUACUUAUACUCUGGUGUAGAGGUUGCGAUUUAUUAUCUUAAUUAAAAAAAAUGCAAUAUAUGAUUCUUUGGUAGACUUUUAAGUUUCUUUUCCCUUCCUGUUCUAAGUAUAAGAUGUAAAUAUGUUGAGGAUGGUGUGUGUGACAUAUUAAUUUUAUCAGUUUUCUCUAUGAGGUUAGAAAAUUAUGUCAUUAUCGAGUUUUGUGUAAACAAAGCUAAUUUUCUCAUCUUCUGGACAGAAUUUUUUCAUGUCUGCUAUGCAUAUUAUAGAGGAAGGGAAAUAAAUGUUCUUAAUCACCU